AACAUGACGAACACACCACAAUAAAAUAAAAAAGAAACUACUGGCUGAUUCAGAUGUGAAGGUGGAUAUCCACACUCGCGUGUGCUGACCACAACCACCUUUGGAAGAAGGGGUCUCGAUCCCCUUCCAAACAGAGCGGUUUGUUUAAGUUUCCUGCACCUUUGGAUCAUUACCCACUUCCCUCUGCACUUACCUGGGUUUCCUCUGACACUGGUCCAACUCACUGCCUGCCUGAAUCUUACCUGCCAGCUGGUUCACUCAACUUCCUGUAAAGAAUCUGGAAACUCACCUGCCUACUACUCACUGUAACCAUCCACCACCCGGAAAAUAAGGUCGGACAUCUUUCUUCACUCGGUGCUCACUGUGCCACUGCCCCUGGAGAGUCACCCCUCUAUCAAUAGCCUUAGUUCACCAGUUUGCUAAUGGAUUCAGCCUCUGAAGUUUCCUCCCUUCUCCGU
This is a long non-coding RNA of Oreochromis aureus, 458 nucleotides long. NCBI's taxonomy places the organism in Eukaryota, Metazoa, Chordata, Actinopteri, Cichliformes, Cichlidae. The record is from Ensembl.